CCCUUAGAGUUUGAUCCUGGCUCAGAACGAACGCUGGCGGCAUGCCUAACACAUGCAAGUCGAACGAGACCUUCGGGUCUAGUGGCGCACGGGUGCGUAACGCGUGGGAAUCUGCCCUUCGGUUCGGGAUAACAGUUGGAAACGACUGCUAAUACCGGAUGAUGACUUCGGUCCAAAGAUUUAUCGCCGAGGGAUGAGCCCGCGUCGGAUUAGCUAGUUGGUGAGGUAAAGGCUCACCAAGGCGACGAUCCGUAGCUGGUCUGAGAGGAUGAUCAGCCACACUGGGACUGAGACACGGCCCAGACUCCUACGGGAGGCAGCAGUGGGGAAUAUUGGACAAUGGGCGAAAGCCUGAUCCAGCAAUGCCGCGUGAGUGAUGAAGGCCCUAGGGUUGUAAAGCUCUUUUACCCGGGAUGAUAAUGACAGUACCGGGAGAAUAAGCCCCGGCUAACUCCGUGCCAGCAGCCGCGGUAAUACGGAGGGGGCUAGCGUUGUUCGGAAUUGCUGGGCGUAAAGCGCACGUAGGCGGCUUUGCAAGUCAGAGGUGAAAGCCCAGGGCUCAACCCUGGAAUUGCCUUUGAGACUGCAUCGCUAGAAUUGUGGAGAGGUAAGUGGAAUUCCGAGUGUAGAGGUGAAAUUCGUAGAUA
RNAcentral lists this ribosomal RNA (647 nucleotides) under uncultured bacterium. RNAcentral's name for it is "bacterial SSU rRNA". It matches the Rfam family "Bacterial small subunit ribosomal RNA", at positions 1 to 696 of the family's 1533-position model. The record is from RNAcentral.